This 348-nucleotide unclassified non-coding RNA is filed under the name soil metagenome. Its description in RNAcentral is "partial contains 5.8S ribosomal RNA, internal transcribed spacer 2, and large subunit ribosomal RNA". The stretch from base 1 to 120 matches the Rfam family "5.8S ribosomal RNA", at positions 35 to 154 of the family's 154-position model. The record is from RNAcentral.
GAUGAAGAACGUAGCGAAAUGCGAUAAUUAAUGUGAAUUGCAGAAUUCCGUGAAUCAUUGAGUCUUUGAACGCACAUUGCACCCUCUGGUAUUCCGGGGGGCAUGCCUGUCCGAGCGUCAUUGCCGCCCUCAAGCACGGCUUGUGUGUUGGGCCCCCGCCCCCCGGCUUCGGGGGGCGGGCCCGAAAGGCAGCGGCGGCACCGCGUCCGGUCCUCGAGCGUAUGGGGCUUCGUCACCCGCUCUGUAGGCCCGGCCGGCGCCCGCCGGCGACCCCAAUCAAUCUUUCCAGGUUGACCUCGGAUCAGGUAGGGAUACCCGCUGAACUUAAGCAUAUCAAUAAGCGGAGGA